GCCGUGGCUCAGUGGUAGAACAUCUGCUUUGUAUGCAGAAAGUCGUGGGUUCAAGCCCGGCAUCUCCA
RNAcentral lists this transfer RNA (68 nucleotides) under Sphaerodactylus townsendi. RNAcentral's name for it is "tRNA-Thr". It matches the Rfam family "tRNA". Rfam says of the family: Transfer RNA (tRNA) molecules are approximately 80 nucleotides in length. Their secondary structure includes four short double-helical elements and three loops (D, anti-codon, and T loops). Further hydrogen bonds mediate the characteristic L-shaped molecular structure. tRNAs have two regions of fundamental functional importance: the anti-codon, which is responsible for specific mRNA codon recognition, and the 3' end, to which the tRNAs corresponding amino acid is attached (by aminoacyl-tRNA synthetases). tRNAs cope with the degeneracy of the genetic code in two manners: having more than one tRNA (with a specific anti-codon) for a particular amino acid; and 'wobble' base-pairing, i.e. permitting non-standard base-pairing at the 3rd anti-codon position. Lineage: Eukaryota; Metazoa; Chordata; Lepidosauria; Squamata; Sphaerodactylidae. The record is from RNAcentral.